This 82-nucleotide small RNA is filed under the name Afipia sp. P52-10. RNAcentral's name for it is "Bradyrhizobiaceae sRNA BjrC68". It matches the Rfam family "Bradyrhizobiaceae sRNA BjrC68". The record is from Rfam by way of RNAcentral. Lineage: Bacteria; Pseudomonadati; Pseudomonadota; Alphaproteobacteria; Hyphomicrobiales; Nitrobacteraceae.
GAGAGACAACGGUUGGGGCACAAACCCGGCACUGCCCCAAACGUCGAGGGGCUCCAGCGCAAGCUGGGGCCCCUCACCUUUU